AAUUAUGGUUUUCUCUUAUGCUCAUGAGUGGCCACUUAGUGACAGGUUUUUUUCCCUCUCUCUCAGUACACAAAAGGCUGUUCCUGCCCCGACGUGGCUGAGAUGCAGAAGGACACAAUACCAGGGAUUUUGCCUCUUCCUGGGUUCAGGUAUGGACACUGCUGGAUCUGUUGGAAAAAGGGGGAAAAUACUGGCAGUGUCUUCAGCAGAUGGCAGCUGAUAAUGAAGUUAGGAAUUCUCAACACAGCCUUUUCCUCUCUGUCUGACAAAGUGAGAAUGCCUCUUUCUGCAGGAAGUGAGUGUGUGCCAGGGAUGCUUCUGCUUAGACAAUUACCAGGUCUGGGAAUGUAUUUUGCUCUUUCCUUCCCCCUGCCAUGGGAGUGAUCAAACAGCAAUUGCAGCUCUACACAUUUGUACUAAAUUGGCUGUGAACCUAAGCUCAAAUUUUGAACCCACUGCCCCAAAUGCCUCUUCC
RNAcentral lists this long non-coding RNA (475 nucleotides) under Manacus vitellinus (golden-collared manakin). Its description in RNAcentral is "lncRNA (ENSMVIG00005006380.1)". Lineage: Eukaryota; Metazoa; Chordata; Aves; Passeriformes; Pipridae. The record is from RNAcentral.